AGCUCCAAUAGCGUAUAUUAAAGUUGUUGUGGUUAAAAAGCUCGUAGUUGGAUCUCGGCAGGCUUGGGGCGGUUUGCUUGCUAGUAUUACUGCCCUAUAGUCUGUAGUUUUGCCAGAGGUUUUAGGGUGCUCUUAAUCGAGUGUCCUGGGAUGCUGGCAGGUUUACUUUGAAAAAAUUAGAGUGCUCAAAGCAGGCUUUUACGCCUGAAUAUUCGUGCAUGGAAUAAUAGAAUAGGAUGUUGAUCUUAUUUUGUUGGUUUUCGAGACUUGACAUAAUGAUUAAUAGGGACAGUCGGGGGCAUUUGUAUUCAAACGACAGAGGUGAAAUUCUUGGACCGUUUGAAGACAAACUACUGCGAAAGCAUUUGCCAAGAAUGUUU
This 380-nucleotide ribosomal RNA is filed under the name uncultured eukaryote. Its description in RNAcentral is "SSU rRNA". It matches the Rfam family "Eukaryotic small subunit ribosomal RNA", at positions 587 to 969 of the family's 1831-position model. The record is from RNAcentral.